Molecule: small RNA, 572 nt
Filed under: Pan troglodytes (chimpanzee)
Lineage: Eukaryota; Metazoa; Chordata; Mammalia; Primates; Hominidae
Description: processed transcript
Source: RNAcentral
AUUGCCCAAGGCCUGGCUUGAGAAGCAGAACAUGGAGAGAGAGGUUGCAGCCUGCAGGAAGCUGGCCAGCCAGACCUGCCGGGCAGCGGGACCCGCGGGCAGUGCCUCUGACUCACGGCACGUCCUUGAUGCGCAGUGCUCCCCUCCCCACUUUCUCUGCCCUCCUGUGGAUCACGGGUGUCCUAGGGCUGUUGGGAGCCUGGAUUAAAGUUGCUGAGUGGCCGGCUGAUGAUCAGAUCCAGGGAGUCAGACCAGAGGUGGGGACAUCUUUUCAAAGGCAAGAAGAUGCUGCCAACACGAAUGCAGAGUUUGAGUCCAGAUCCCAAAGCCCGGUACACAAGUAUCUACGGAGCCCUCAAGAAAAUCAUGCGGACCGAAGGCUUCUGGAGGCCCUUGCGAGGCGUCAACGUCAUGAUCAUGGGUGCAGGGCCGGCCCAUGCCAUGUAUUUUGCCUGCUAUGAAAACAUGAAAAGGACUUUAAAUGACGUUUUCCACCACCAAGGAAACAGCCACCUAGCCAACGGUAUUUUGAAAGCGUUUGUCUGGAGUUAGAAAGUUCUCUUCUUCAACAC